ACUGGCACUUUCUAGUCAAAUAGUGUUUUGUAUAUACUCUUUGAUUGCAAAGGGCUAAAGCC
Molecule: microRNA precursor, 62 nt
Filed under: Drosophila virilis
Lineage: Eukaryota; Metazoa; Arthropoda; Insecta; Diptera; Drosophilidae
Description: microRNA dvi-mir-9542b precursor
Source: miRBase by way of RNAcentral